AAAGGGGAGCAAUCCCUGAGUAAAGUGGCGUACGGGUGAGUAACACGUGGAUGAUCUACCUCUUGGCGGGGAAUACCCCUGGGAAACCGGGGACAAUACCGCAUAAGCUCGGAAGAGGAAACCUGAAAAGGGCCGAGAGAGGAGUCCGCGGCCGAUUAGCUAGUUGGAAGGGUAAAAGCCUCCCAAGGCAAAGAUCGGUAGCCGGCCUGAGAGGGCACACGGCCACACUGGCACUGARAYACGGGCCAGACUCCUACGGGAGGCARCAGUGGGGAAUCUUGCACAAUGGGGGAAACCCUGRUGCAGCGACGCCGCGUGAGCGAUGAAGCCCUUCGGGGUGUAAAGCUCUUUCGACGGGAACGAUAAUGACGGUACCCGGAGAAGAAGCUGCGGCUAACUACGUGCCAGCAGCCGCGGUAAUACGUAGGCAGCAAGCGUUGUUCGGAGUUACUGGGCGUAAAGAGUGCGUAGGCGGUUUACCAAGUCUGCUGUGAAAUCUCCCGGCUUAACUGGGAGGGUGCGGUGGAAACUGGUAGGCUCGAGUGUGGGAGAGGUAAGCGGAAUUCCUGGUGUAGCGGUGAAAUGCGUAGAUAUCAGGAGGAACACCGGUGGUGUAGACGGCUUACUGGACCAYGACUGACGCUGAGGCACGAAAGCGUGGGUAGCAAACAGGAUUAGAUACCCUGGUAGUCCACGCCCUAAACGAUGCAUACUUGGUGUGAGCCAUUCAUUUGGUUCGUGCCGGAGCUAACGCGUUAAGUAUGCCGCCUGGGGAGUACGGUCGCAAGGCUGAAACUCAAAGGAAUGACGGGGGCCCGCA
RNAcentral lists this ribosomal RNA (820 nucleotides) under uncultured bacterium. Its description in RNAcentral is "bacterial SSU rRNA". It matches the Rfam family "Bacterial small subunit ribosomal RNA", at positions 71 to 925 of the family's 1533-position model. The record is from RNAcentral.